AACCUGGUUGAUCCUGCCAGUAGUCAUAUGCUUGUCUCAAAGAUUAAGCCAUGCAUGUCUAAGUAUAAACUGCUUUAUACUGUGAAACUGCGAAUGGCUCAUUAAAUCAGUUAUAGUUUAUUUGAUGGUACCUACUUACUCGGAUACCCGUAGUAAUUCUAGAGCUAAUACGUGCGUACAUCCCGACUUCUGGAAGGGAUGUAUUUAUUAGAUAAAAGGCCGACCGGGCUUGCCCGACUCGCGGUGACUCAUGAUAACUUCACGAAUCGCAUGGCCUCGCGCCGGCGAUGUUUCAUUCAAAUUUCUGCCCUAUCAACUUUUGAUGGUAGGAUAGAGGCCUACCAUGGUGGUAACGGGUGACGGAGAAUUAGGGUUCGAUUCCGGAGAGGGAGCCUGAGAAACGGCUACCAC
RNAcentral lists this ribosomal RNA (411 nucleotides) under uncultured marine eukaryote. Its description in RNAcentral is "SSU rRNA". It matches the Rfam family "Eukaryotic small subunit ribosomal RNA", at positions 1 to 413 of the family's 1831-position model. The record is from RNAcentral.